RNAcentral lists this ribosomal RNA (443 nucleotides) under uncultured bacterium. Its description in RNAcentral is "partial 16S ribosomal RNA". It matches the Rfam family "Bacterial small subunit ribosomal RNA", at positions 338 to 795 of the family's 1533-position model. The record is from RNAcentral.
CCUACGGGGGGCAGCAGUGGGGAAUAUUGGGCAAUGGGCGCAAGCCUGACCCAGCAACGCCGCGUGAAGGAAGAAGGCUCUCGGGUUGUAAACUUCUUUUAUCAGGGACGAAGCAAGUGACGGUACCUGAUGAAUAAGCCACGGCUAACUACGUGCCAGCAGCCGCGGUAAUACGUAGGUGGCAAGCGUUAUCCGGAUUUACUGGGUGUAAAGGGCGUGUAGGCGGGAAAGCAAGUCAGAUGUGAAAACCAUGGGCUCAACCUGUGGCGUGCAUUUGAAACUGUGUUGCUUGAGUACUGGAGAGGCAGACGGAAUUCCUAGUGUAGCGGUGAAAUGCGUAGAUAUUAGGAAGAACACCAGUGGCGAAGGCGGUCUGCUGGACAGCAACUGACGCUGAGGCGCGAAAGCGUGGGGAGCAAACAGGAUUAGAUACCCGUGUAGUC